RNAcentral lists this ribosomal RNA (718 nucleotides) under uncultured Neisseriales bacterium. Its description in RNAcentral is "bacterial SSU rRNA". It matches the Rfam family "Bacterial small subunit ribosomal RNA", at positions 66 to 773 of the family's 1533-position model. The record is from RNAcentral. Lineage: Bacteria; Pseudomonadati; Pseudomonadota; Betaproteobacteria; Neisseriales.
GCAGCGAGGAGAAGCUUGCUUCUCUGUCGGCGAGUGGCGAACGGGUGAGUAUAGCAUCGGAACGUGCCAAGUAGUGGGGGAUAACCAAACGAAAGUUUGGCUAAUACCGCGUAAGCUCCAAGGAGGAAAGUAGGGGACCUAAAUAAGGCCUUACGCUAUUUGAUCGGCCGAUGUCGGAUUAGCUAGUUGGUGGGGUAAUGGCUCACCAAGGCAAUGAUCCGUAGCGGGUCUGAGAGGACGAUCCGCCACACUGGGACUGAGACACGGCCCAGACUCCUACGGGAGGCAGCAGUGGGGAAUUUUGGACAAUGGGGGGAACCCUGAUCCAGCCAUGCCGCGUGUAUGAAGAAGGCCUUAGGGUUGUAAAGUACUUUUGUUAGGGAAGAAAAGCUAGUUUUUAAUAAAAAUUAGUGAUGACGGUACCUAAAGAAUAAGCACCGGCUAACUACGUGCCAGCAGCCGCGGUAAUACGUAGGGUGCAAGCGUUAAUCGGAAUUAUUGGGCGUAAAGCGAGUGCAGACGGUUACUUAAGCCAGAUGUGAAAUCCCCAAGCUUAACUUGGGACGUGCAUUUGGAACUGGGUGACUAGAGUGUGUCAGAGGGAGGUAGAAUUCCACAUGUAGCGGUGGAAUGCGUAGAGAUGUGGAGGAAUACCGAUGGCGAAGGCAGCCUCCUGGGAUAACACUGACGUUGAGGCUCGAAAGCGUGGGGAGCAAAC